CCUACGGGUGGCAGCAGUGGGGAAUAUUGGACAAUGGGGGCAACCCUGAUCCAGCCAUGCCGCGUGUGUGAAGAAGGCCCUCGGGUUGUAAAGCACUUUCAGUGAGGAAGAACGCCUGGUGGUUAAUACCCAUCAGGAAAGACAUCACUCACAGAAGAAGCACCGGCUAACUCCGUGCCAGCAGCCGCGGUAAUACGGAGGGUGCCAGCGUUAAUCGGAAUUACUGGGCGUAAAGCGCGCGUAGGUGGCUUGAUAAGCCGGUUGUGAAAGCCCCGGGCUCAACCUGGGAACGGCAUCCGGAACUGUCAAGCUAGAGUGCAGGAGAGGAAGGUAGAAUUCCCGGUGUAGCGGUGAAAUGCGUAGAGAUCGGGAGGAAUACCAGUGGCGAAGGCGGCCUUCUGGACUGACACUGACACUGAGGUGCGAAAGCGUGGGUAGCAAACAGGAUUAGAUACCCGAGUAGUC
RNAcentral lists this ribosomal RNA (465 nucleotides) under Vreelandella stevensii. Its description in RNAcentral is "partial 16S ribosomal RNA". It matches the Rfam family "Bacterial small subunit ribosomal RNA", at positions 338 to 795 of the family's 1533-position model. The record is from RNAcentral. Lineage: Bacteria; Pseudomonadati; Pseudomonadota; Gammaproteobacteria; Oceanospirillales; Halomonadaceae.